This 1415-nucleotide ribosomal RNA is filed under the name metagenome. RNAcentral describes it as "bacterial LSU rRNA". It matches the Rfam family "Bacterial large subunit ribosomal RNA", at positions 1506 to 2925 of the family's 2925-position model. The record is from RNAcentral.
CCGCGUCCAAGCAGUUAGGCUGGGAAAUAGGCAAAUCCGUUUCCCAUAAGGCUGAGCUGUGAUGGCGAGCGAAAUAUAGUAGCGAAGUUCCUGAUUCCACACUGCCAAGAAAAGCCUCUAGCGAGGUGAGAGGUGCCCGUACCGCAAACCGACACAGGUAGGCGAGGAGAGAAUCCUAAGGUGAUCGAGAGAACUCUCGUUAAGGAACUCGGCAAAAUGACCCCGUAACUUCGGGAGAAGGGGUGCUCUGUUAGGGUGCAAGCCCGAGAGAGCCGCAGUGAAUAGGCCCAGGCGACUGUUUAGCAAAAACACAGGUCUCUGCGAAGCCGUAAGGCGAAGUAUAGGGGCUGACGCCUGCCCGGUGCUGGAAGGUUAAGAGGAGCGCUUAGCGUAAGCGAAGGUGCGAAUUGAAGCCCCAGUAAACGGCGGCCGUAACUAUAACGGUCCUAAGGUAGCGAAAUUCCUUGUCGGGUAAGUUCCGACCCGCACGAAAGGCGCGACGAUCUGGGCACUGUCUCAACGAGAGACUCGGUGAAAUUAUAGUACCUGUGAAGAUGCAGGUUACCCGCGACAGGACGGAAAGACCCCGUGGAGCUUUACUGCAGCCUGAUAUUGAAUGUUGGUACAGCUUGUACAGGAUAGGUAGGAGCCUUGGAAACCGGAGCGCCAGCUUUGGUGGAGGCAUCGGUGGGAUACUACCCUGGCUGUAUUGACCUUCUAACCCGCCGCCCUUAUCGGGCGGGGAGACAGUGUCAGGUGGGCAGUUUGACUGGGGCGGUCGCCUCCUAAAAGGUAACGGAGGCGCCCAAAGGUUCCCUCAGAAUGGUUGGAAAUCAUUCGCAGAGUGUUAAGGCACAAGGGAGCUUGACUGCGAGACCUACAAGUCGAGCAGGGACGAAAGUCGGGCUUAGUGAUCCGGUGGUUCCGCAUGGAAGGGCCAUCACUCAACGGAUAAAAGCUACCCCGGGGAUAACAGGCUUAUCUCCCCCAAGAGUCCACAUCGACGGGGAGGUUUGGCACCUCGAUGUCGGCUCAUCGCAUCCUGGGGCUGUAGUCGGUCCCAAGGGUUGGGCCGUUCGCCCAUUAAAGCGGUACGCGAGCUGGGUUCAGAACGUCGUGAGACAGUUCGGUCCCUAUCCGUCGCGGGCGCAGGAAAUUUGAGAGGAGCUGUCCUUAGUACGUGAGGACCGGGAUGGACGCACCGCUGGUGUACCAGUUGUUCUGCCAAGGGCAUCGCUGGGUAGCUAUGUGCGGACGGGAUAAGUGCUGAAAGCAUCUAAGCAUGAAGCCCCCCUCAAGAUGAGAUUUCCCAUUCCGCAAGGAAGUAAGAUCCCUGAAAGAUGAUCAGGUUGAUAGGUCUGAGGUGGAAGUGUGGCGACACAUGGAGCUGACAGAUACUAAUCGAUCGAGGACUU